AUUGAACGCUGGCGGCAGGCUUAACACAUGCAAGUCGAACGAGCGGCGGACGGGUGAGUAAUGUCUGGGAAACUGCCUGAUGGAGGGGGAUAAAUACUGGAAACGGUAGCUAAUACCGCAUACCAUCGGAUGUGCCCAGAUGGGAUUAGCUAGUAGGUGGGGUAAAGGCUCACCUAGGCGACGCGCCCUAGCUGGUCUGAGAGGAUGACCAGCCACACUGGAACUGAUACACGGUCCAGACUCCUACGGGAGGCAGCAGUGGGGAAUAUUGCACAAUGGGCGCAAGCCUGAUGCAGCCAUUCCGCGUGUAUGAAGAAGGCCUUCGGGUUGUAAAGUACUUUCAGCGAGGAGGCGUUACUCGCAGAAGAAGCACCGGCUAACUCCGUGCCAGCAGCCGCGGUAAUUC
This 406-nucleotide ribosomal RNA is filed under the name uncultured bacterium. RNAcentral describes it as "partial 16S ribosomal RNA". It matches the Rfam family "Bacterial small subunit ribosomal RNA", at positions 30 to 526 of the family's 1533-position model. The record is from RNAcentral.